This 1426-nucleotide ribosomal RNA is filed under the name Streptococcus salivarius. RNAcentral's name for it is "bacterial SSU rRNA". It matches the Rfam family "Bacterial small subunit ribosomal RNA". The record is from RNAcentral. Lineage: Bacteria; Bacillati; Bacillota; Bacilli; Lactobacillales; Streptococcaceae.
CAUGCAAGUAGAACGCUGAAGAGAGGAGCUUGCUCUUCUUGGAUGAGUUGCGAACGGGUGAGUAACGCGUAGGUAACCUGCCUUGUAGCGGGGGAUAACUAUUGGAAACGAUAGCUAAUACCGCAUAACAAUGGAUGACACAUGUCAUUUAUUUGAAAGGGGCAAUUGCUCCACUACAAGAUGGACCUGCGUUGUAUUAGCUAGUAGGUGAGGUAACGGCUCACCUAGGCGACGAUACAUAGCCGACCUGAGAGGGUGAUCGGCCACACUGGGACUGAGACACGGCCCAGACUCCUACGGGAGGCAGCAGUAGGGAAUCUUCGGCAAUGGGGGCAACCCUGACCGAGCAACGCCGCGUGAGUGAAGAAGGUUUUCGGAUCGUAAAGCUCUGUUGUAAGUCAAGAACGAGUGUGAGAGUGGAAAGUUCACACUGUGACGGUAGCUUACCAGAAAGGGACGGCUAACUACGUGCCAGCAGCCGCGGUAAUACGUAGGUCCCGAGCGUUGUCCGGAUUUAUUGGGCGUAAAGCGAGCGCAGGCGGUUUGAUAAGUCUGAAGUUAAAGGCUGUGGCUCAACCAUAGUUCGCUUUGGAAACUGUCAAACUUGAGUGCAGAAGGGGAGAGUGGAAUUCCAUGUGUAGCGGUGAAAUGCGUAGAUAUAUGGAGGAACACCGGUGGCGAAAGCGGCUCUCUGGUCUGUAACUGACGCUGAGGCUCGAAAGCGUGGGGAGCGAACAGGAUUAGAUACCCUGGUAGUCCACGCCGUAAACGAUGAGUGCUAGGUGUUGGAUCCUUUCCGGGAUUCAGUGCCGCAGCUAACGCAUUAAGCACUCCGCCUGGGGAGUACGACCGCAAGGUUGAAACUCAAAGGAAUUGACGGGGGCCCGCACAAGCGGUGGAGCAUGUGGUUUAAUUCGAAGCAACGCGAAGAACCUUACCAGGUCUUGACAUCCCGAUGCUAUUUCUAGAGAUAGAAAGUUACUUCGGUACAUCGGUGACAGGUGGUGCAUGGUUGUCGUCAGCUCGUGUCGUGAGAUGUUGGGUUAAGUCCCGCAACGAGCGCAACCCCUAUUGUUAGUUGCCAUCAUUCAGUUGGGCACUCUAGCGAGACUGCCGGUAAUAAACCGGAGGAAGGUGGGGAUGACGUCAAAUCAUCAUGCCCCUUAUGACCUGGGCUACACACGUGCUACAAUGGUUGGUACAACGAGUUGCGAGUCGGUGACGGCAAGCUAAUCUCUUAAAGCCAAUCUCAGUUCGGAUUGUAGGCUGCAACUCGCCUACAUGAAGUCGGAAUCGCUAGUAAUCGCGGAUCAGCACGCCGCGGUGAAUACGUUCCCGGGCCUUGUACACACCGCCCGUCACACCACGAGAGUUUGUAACACCCGAAGUCGGUGAGGUAACCUUUGGAGCCAGCCGCCUAAAGUGA